RNAcentral lists this ribosomal RNA (479 nucleotides) under uncultured bacterium. Its description in RNAcentral is "partial 16S ribosomal RNA". It matches the Rfam family "Bacterial small subunit ribosomal RNA", at positions 28 to 507 of the family's 1533-position model. The record is from RNAcentral.
GAUGAACGCUAGCGGGAGGCCUAACACAUGCAAGCCGAGCGGUAGAGUUUCUUCGGCACCUUGAGAGCGGCGCACGGGUGCGUAACACGUGUGCAACCUACCUUUAUCUGGGGGAUAGCCUUUCGAAAGGAAGAUCAAUACCCCAUAAUAUAAUGAUUGGCAUCAAUUAUUAUUUAAAACUCCGGUGGAUAGAGAUGUGCACGCGCAAGAUUAGAUAGUUGGUGAGGUAACUGCUCACCAAGUCAAUGAUCUUUAGGAGUCCUGAGAGGGAGAUCCCCCAGAAUGGUACUGAGCCACGGACCAGAAUGCUACGGAACGAAGCAGUGAGGUACAUUGGACAAUGGGUGAGAGCCUGAUCCAGCCAUCCCGCGUGAAGGAUGCCGGUCCUAGGGAUUGUAUACUUCUUUUGUACAGGGAUAAUCCUACCCUCGUGAGGGUAGCUGACGGUACUGAACGAAUAAGCACCGGCUAACUACGUG